GAGGGUAUAGUUUAGUGGUAGAGUGCAUGCUUAGCAGGUACAAGGUCCUGGGUUCAACCCCCAGUACCUACA
Molecule: transfer RNA, 72 nt
Filed under: Camelus bactrianus (Bactrian camel)
Lineage: Eukaryota; Metazoa; Chordata; Mammalia; Artiodactyla; Camelidae
Also listed under: 2 other names
Rfam family: tRNA
About the family: Transfer RNA (tRNA) molecules are approximately 80 nucleotides in length. Their secondary structure includes four short double-helical elements and three loops (D, anti-codon, and T loops). Further hydrogen bonds mediate the characteristic L-shaped molecular structure. tRNAs have two regions of fundamental functional importance: the anti-codon, which is responsible for specific mRNA codon recognition, and the 3' end, to which the tRNAs corresponding amino acid is attached (by aminoacyl-tRNA synthetases). tRNAs cope with the degeneracy of the genetic code in two manners: having more than one tRNA (with a specific anti-codon) for a particular amino acid; and 'wobble' base-pairing, i.e. permitting non-standard base-pairing at the 3rd anti-codon position.
Source: Rfam by way of RNAcentral